RNAcentral lists this ribosomal RNA (565 nucleotides) under uncultured Glomus. RNAcentral describes it as "SSU rRNA". It matches the Rfam family "Eukaryotic small subunit ribosomal RNA", at positions 546 to 1106 of the family's 1831-position model. The record is from RNAcentral. Lineage: Eukaryota; Fungi; Glomeromycota; Glomeromycetes; Glomerales; Glomeraceae.
AAUUGGAGGGCAAGUCUGGUGCCAGCAGCCGCGGUAAUUCCAGCUCCAAUAGCGUAUAUUAAAGUUGUUGCAGUUAAAAAGCUCGUAGUUGAAUUUCGGGAUUGGCACAUCGGUCGUGCCUUAAGGGGUAUGAACUGGUGUAGUCAAUUUCUCACCUUCUGGAGAACCGCGAUGCCCUUAAUUGGGUGUCACGGGGAACCAGGACCUUUACUUUGAAAAAAUUAGAGUGUUUAAAGCAGGCAUUUUGCUUGAAUACAUUAGCAUGGAAUAAUAAAAUAGGACGGCAUGAUUCUAUUUUGUUGGUUUCUAGGAUCACCGUAAUGAUUAAUAGGGAUAGUUGGGGGCAUUAGUAUUCAAUUGUCAGAGGUGAAAUUCUUGGAUUUAUUGAAGACUAACUACUGCGAAAGCAUUUGCCAAGGAUGUUUUCAUUAAUCAAGAACGAAAGUUAGGGGAUCGAAGACGAUCAGAUACCGUCGUAGUCUUAACCAUAAACUAUGCCGACUAGGAAUCAGACGAUGUUAAUUUUUUAAUGACUCGUUUGGCACCUUACGGGAAACCAAAGUGU